Transfer RNA from Endozoicomonas elysicola, 74 nucleotides. It matches the Rfam family "tRNA". Rfam says of the family: Transfer RNA (tRNA) molecules are approximately 80 nucleotides in length. The record is from Rfam. NCBI's taxonomy places the organism in Bacteria, Pseudomonadati, Pseudomonadota, Gammaproteobacteria, Oceanospirillales, Endozoicomonadaceae.
UGCGGGGUGGAGCAGCCUGGUAGCUCGUCGGGCUCAUAACCCGAAGGUCGUUGGUUCGAAUCCAGCCCCCGCUA